UUUCUCUAUGAUGGAGAGGGUGGAGGCAGAUCAUUCCCACUCUGCUUUCUGGAUCAAUACUCUGCAUUACUGCUGGGAUGCCCUUCUGAGCAGACAUCUGUUGGUUCAGAAGGCUGGGAGCUGGCCCAGAAAGCAACUUUUAGUGGGUGUCAGCUGAGAGCUGCUUGCCUUCCCUCCUCAGUCAGGCCAACUUUCGCAUGAGAGAUGAGUAGAAGCAAGUGGGAUGGCUUUGUAUUAUCCAUUACAGGAACUUGGAGGCCAUCAUCAGCCAUCUCCGCUCCGAGCAUCUCCAUGAAAGCUGGCAAACCAGAAGCAUGCAGCCUACGCGCAUCCAAGAGCGUGUGCAGAAGGGGAGUUGAUUUCUCUUUAGAAGAAUUGAACUGUGAGGAAGUGACUGCUAUUCCCACGAAGAGGAGUGAUGUCUCAGUGCUUACUUUAGAUGGCUGUAUCCAGGCAGCAUCACUGAACAUAGUCCCCC
RNAcentral lists this long non-coding RNA (478 nucleotides) under Chrysolophus pictus (golden pheasant). RNAcentral describes it as "lncRNA (ENSCPIG00010012343.1)". Lineage: Eukaryota; Metazoa; Chordata; Aves; Galliformes; Phasianidae. The record is from RNAcentral.